This 72-nucleotide transfer RNA is filed under the name uncultured Prochlorococcus marinus clone ASNC1092. RNAcentral describes it as "tRNA-Thr". It matches the Rfam family "tRNA". Rfam says of the family: Transfer RNA (tRNA) molecules are approximately 80 nucleotides in length. Their secondary structure includes four short double-helical elements and three loops (D, anti-codon, and T loops). Further hydrogen bonds mediate the characteristic L-shaped molecular structure. tRNAs have two regions of fundamental functional importance: the anti-codon, which is responsible for specific mRNA codon recognition, and the 3' end, to which the tRNAs corresponding amino acid is attached (by aminoacyl-tRNA synthetases). tRNAs cope with the degeneracy of the genetic code in two manners: having more than one tRNA (with a specific anti-codon) for a particular amino acid; and 'wobble' base-pairing, i.e. permitting non-standard base-pairing at the 3rd anti-codon position. The record is from RNAcentral. Lineage: Bacteria; Bacillati; Cyanobacteriota; Cyanophyceae; Synechococcales; Prochlorococcaceae.
GCCCUUGUAGCUCAGCGGUAGAGCACUCCCUUGGUAAGGGAGAGGUCUCGGGUUAAAGUCCCGACUAGAGCA